Agrilus planipennis (emerald ash borer) is the source of this 855-nucleotide long non-coding RNA. RefSeq lists it as uncharacterized. The record is from RefSeq and is a predicted model, not a curated record. NCBI's taxonomy places the organism in Eukaryota, Metazoa, Arthropoda, Insecta, Coleoptera, Buprestidae. The transcript is spliced from 3 exons.
AUAAAAACAAAUGGUUAUUGUAUAGAUGAUGAGACCGUCUAUUGAAUUUUCUCUCAUUCUUUUUGUGUUGUGGAGGGGAACUUCUACCCACAACACUUUUUUUAUGGUGGGGGGGGGAACUUUUACCCAACAUAACCUUUCCUUUUCUUACUUUUUUGUGGGAGUGAAGAGACUUCUACCGUCCACAAUCCAACCAUUCCUCCUUAAUGCAUAAGAUGGGUGAAAGUUCUCCCCUCUCCCACAAAAAAGAAAAGAGAAAAUGCGACAGUCGUCUUAUAUUCUGUACCAUUCACACUAACCCUUUAUUUUUUUAUUCAUCUACAUUCGUCCUCCACCUAAAAACAGACUAAAUUACUAUUUACCCUAUUUUCAACUUUCAGCCCCAGCUUCUGCGCCUCCUUGAGCUCAUUACGAUUAAUGCCAUUUUUAAUUGUCAUUUUCAUUUCUACGGCUCAUAUAUAUGUAAAAAAGUGUCUCCCUCACCUUCAAACGUCUACUUUUAACCUAAAUGACAGUUUCCGAUAGUGUAUAGUUCAUAUGUGGUAUAUCAAUGUGGACAUGCAAAUAUUUCUAUUUUCCCCUUUAUUACUGUGGUCCAUUAUUCUUUAUCCCAAGAAAAUGCUUUUUAUUGGCCUGCCCUUGUUGACAAUAAUUUCCACUGUGGUAGUUUUUCUCACUGUGUAUAUUAACGAAAUUGUAUGGUAUUCGAGUGAUUAUUAUUACAAAUAUUAUUUUGUAACGCACACACAUUUAGCCCCGUGGUUUAUUGGAAUGGCGUUGGGCAUCAUACUACUUAACAGUAAAAAUAAAAAGUUCCAACUAAACAAGGUAAAACAAAAAAAUACGUUUUCAAAC